AUUGAACGCUGGCGGCAUGCCUUACACAUGCAAGUCGAACGGCAGCACGGGAGCAAUCCUGGUGGCGAGUGGCGAGCGGGUGAGUAAAGUAUCGGAACGUGCCCAGUCGUGGGGGAUAACGUAGCGAAAGUUACGCUAAUACCGCAUACGAUCUAUGGAUGAAAGCGGGGGAUCGCAAGACCUCGCGCGAUUGGAGCGGCCGAUAUCAGAUUAGGUAGUUGGUGGGGUAAAGGCUCACCAAGCCGACGAUCUGUAGCUGGUCUGAGAGGACGGCCAGCCAAACUGGGACUGAGACACGGCCCAGACUCCUACGGGGGGCAGCAGUGGGGAAUUUUGGACAAUGGGCGAAGGCCUGAUCCAGCCAUGCCGCGUGCAGGAUGAAGGCCUUCGGGUUGUAAACUGCUUUUGUACGGAACGAAAAGGUUUGGCCUAAUAAGCUGAGCUCAUGACGGUACCGUAAGAAUAAGCACCGGCUAACUACGUGCCAGCAGCCGCCGUAA
This 500-nucleotide ribosomal RNA is filed under the name uncultured bacterium. Its description in RNAcentral is "partial 16S ribosomal RNA". It matches the Rfam family "Bacterial small subunit ribosomal RNA", at positions 30 to 523 of the family's 1533-position model. The record is from RNAcentral.